Molecule: long non-coding RNA, 594 nt
Filed under: Phasianus colchicus (ring-necked pheasant)
Lineage: Eukaryota; Metazoa; Chordata; Aves; Galliformes; Phasianidae
Description: lncRNA (ENSPCLG00000014085.1)
Source: RNAcentral
ACACUGGGGACGCCUGAGUGCCACCACCACCCAGUGGACGUUGGGGACACUGGGGUUACCUGAGUGCCACCACCACCCAAAGGACGUUGGGGACUUUGGGGACACCCGAGUGCCACCACCAGCCAAUGGAUGUUGGGGACAUUGGGGUCACACAAGUGCCACCACCACCCAAUGGACAGUGGGGACACCGGGGACAUCUGAGUCCCACCAGCACCCAACGGACACUGGGGACACUGGAGACACCCGAGUGCCACCACCACCCAAUGAACACUGGCGACACCCAAGACACCCGAGUGCCACUUCCAUCCAAUGGACACUGGGGACACUGGAGACACCCAAGUGCCACCACCACCCAAAGGACACUGGGGACAUUGGGGACGCCUGAGUGCCACCACCACCCAACGGACACUGGGGACACCGGGGACGUCUGAGUGUCACCUCCACCCAAAGGACACUGGGGACACUGGGGACACCUGAGUGUCACCUCCACCCAAAGGAAGUUGGGGACACUGGGGUCACACAAGUGCCACCACCACCCAACGGACACUGGGGACAUUGGGGACGCCUGAGUGCCACCACCACCCAAUGGACACU